CCUACGGGGUGCUGCAGUGGGGAAUAUUGGACAAUGGGCGAAAGCCUGAUCCAGCCAUGCCGCGUGUGUGAAGAGGGCCUUCGGGUUGUAAAGCACUUUCAGUGGGGAAGAAAGCCUUGGGGCUAAUACCCUCGAGGAAGGACAUCACCCACAGAAGAAGCACCGGCUAACUCCGUGCCAGCAGCCGCGGUAAUACGGAGGGUGCGAGCGUUAAUCGGAAUUACUGGGCGUAAAGCGCGCGUAGGCGGUCUGAUAAGCCGGUUGCGAAAGCCCCGGGCUCAACCUGGGAACGGCAUCCGGAACUGUCAGGCUAGAGUGCAGGAGAGGAAGGUAGAAUUCCCGGUGUAGCGGUGAAAUGCGUAGAGAUCGGGAGGAAUACCAGUGGCGAAGGCGGCCUUCUGGACUGACACUGACGCUGAGGUGCGAAAGCGUGGGUAGCAAACAGGAUUAGAUACCCCAGUAGUC
Molecule: ribosomal RNA, 465 nt
Filed under: Vreelandella stevensii
Lineage: Bacteria; Pseudomonadati; Pseudomonadota; Gammaproteobacteria; Oceanospirillales; Halomonadaceae
Description: partial 16S ribosomal RNA
Rfam family: Bacterial small subunit ribosomal RNA
Source: RNAcentral